AUAAAUUAAAUUGGAGGGCUCUCUCCAGACGAAAACGAAAUCUGAAGAUUUUGCACUACCUGUAUUUUGCUACAUGCAAAAAAAGUCUCGCUGAAACGGGUAUCGGAAAUUCUCGUUCUUUCUUCCGUCCUUUUAUGACUAAAAAAAAAAACUUGGAGAAAUGAAAAAUGUGCCACCGACUUGUCUAUAAAAUAGAAACAGAUGGUAAAGAAGACCUUUAAAUUUCCACCAUUAGUAAACCGCAAAAACGAACACUCUGAUCUCACUUUUAUUCCGUGCAGACCUCAAAUAAACCCCGUCGAAAAUAUGCAAAGAAAAAAAUAAACACUGUUUUUCUCGGCUGAAGCAAAUAUUUUCCUUUCAGCGCCUUAAGGUUGACAAUAGACGAAGCUAAAAGCUUUUGCCAAUAAGUGUCUUGAUUGUCUAUGGAUUAGCAGCCGCGCUGUAUAUUUGUAAAUACGUCAUCUUUCUUCGGUCUUCAAAUGAAAAACGAAAUAAGAUCAAUCCGAACUUACAAAAACUGGUCGUAAAGAUAUAGAUACUGAUAUUGAUCCAGAUACGCUUACUUGAGAAAAGGACCAAAUACAUCGUACCACUUUGAUCCAUUUUUCGUAGCAUUAUAACGGCUAGACUUGGCCAGACAAACCUCGACGGGUUAAGAACAAAUUAGCGACAGACGAUUGUCUUUUUUUUUUGUUUUUUUUUCAAAGUAUGGCUGUGAUUUAUGCAGAUUAAUGCCAGCGAACUUAAAAAAACAACAAAACAAACUUAAUGUUUAAGUAGAUAUUCUGAGGGAUCACUGGCAUCCAAUUGUCUGUUUUCCUUCUAGAAGAAGUAAAGCUCGCGAAAAAGGUGAUUCGGGGGCGUUUUCUUGGGUGUAAUCAAGGGUUGAUGAGCACAAACAAUAGCUUGCGUACAUUGUACGAGUGUCUUCUUUCUUCAGUAAUUUAUUGCGGACAGUAAAUGAAUAAAGAAAAUGCACAAAAGCGAAUAGAAUGAAUAGAGCAAUUUUUAAUUGUUUGUCGACAGUAAUCAAUGAUUGCUCUGUUUUUCCUUUACAUCAAGUUUAAGUUCAAAGUUUCAUUCACCAACUUGAACUUCACUUCGUGAUUGGUCCAGAAAACUCGCACCACCAUCUCAGCUAAUUAGUUGCAAAACUAAAAACCAUCACAAACUGGUCGUCUGAGUUUUCCCGCGCCUUAGGCAGCUUGGUUGGUUUUCUUUUAAGGUUUCAUUGGCUCUUAAUGGUAUUUCGUUUCUUCUGACUGACCUUCGUGAUUAUUUUGGUUUUGGCUUUACAACGCACAAUCGAAAAGCUCACUUACUAGUCGAAACUGAAAACUCCAAAAUUGAAACUCAGACAUGCGAAGCGUCCACCCAGGGGAAUGGACUUGAAAAGAUGCAAAUUUAGACAGACUGAAAUUUACACGAAACUAUUUAUGGUGAUAUAGACAAUCUCGUGAAAAAAACCACGUACUGGUCUAUUUCGUCUCCACACGCACGUCUUAAUUUUUCACGAGCUCUACCCACGCGAGACUUGAACGCUUCACGCUUGCAUCGCGGUGCGCAAUCAUGGUUUUUGGCGAAGCUCUAGUGUUGGCGUUCCUGGCUACAGCAGUAGCCUUAUUUGGUGUGUCUGUGCACAGUAUUUUCACAUCCAAGCACAACUCGCUGAUGGAAUUGAGAAAACUGGAGGAUCAGAUGAUGGAAAAGUACGGCUGGAAUCCUUCAAUGCCUUACAAUGCAUACAACUAAAGAUAAAAAGCGUAGAGGAAAAGCUUAAACUGGAUUUAUUAACUAGAUAAUUGCUGGCCCUUAGUAAGUGUGAAGAAACCGUAGAUCGAGGUUGCAUUAGAAUUCCAAGUUCCACAAUAAUUUUUUUUUGUAUAUUGGCGUGUUAACUACAACACCGUAGAAGGACUGAUCUGCAAAGAUGACCUAAGAAGUUUUGCCCUGGUUUUAUUACAAGCUUAGCACAAACAUUUACGAGAAAUUUAACAAGAAGGAACCUACAUGUUUACCUUUAGAGUAACGAGAACCAGCUUGAUACAGUUGUCUGAUACCUAAUUAACAAUUAAGCUUUUAAAGUUAUUUAUCAGUGAAAUGUUAUUUGUGGGUAAAAAUUUUCAUCGAAACAAACUUACUGUCAAGAUUGUGGUCAAUCGAGUGUAGGAUUCGGAACUGAGUAAAGAUAUAGUGAGAUCUAAAUGAAAGCAUUUUUUUAUUUUAUCUUUAAUGAGAACCUUCAGUAGUCUUUCGGCUAACGGCUUUCUUUCUUCCAAGAAACGCGACCAACGGGUUUCUGAAAAUAUACUCGUACAACAGUUUACAACUCUUUUGAAAA
RNAcentral lists this long non-coding RNA (2344 nucleotides) under Pocillopora damicornis (cauliflower coral). RNAcentral's name for it is "uncharacterized LOC113685956, transcript variant X1". The record is from RNAcentral. Lineage: Eukaryota; Metazoa; Cnidaria; Anthozoa; Scleractinia; Pocilloporidae.